Molecule: non-coding RNA, 98 nt
Organism: Acanthosepion pharaonis
Lineage: Eukaryota; Metazoa; Mollusca; Cephalopoda; Sepiida; Sepiidae
Source: the annotation of a GenBank genome assembly
GUUGAAACACCAGUUCUUGUAUGAUCACCAAAGUUAAGCAAGAUAGAGCUUGGUCAGUACCUAGAUGGGUGACUGCUUGGGGAAACCAGGUGCAGCAA